CUAUUCAUAAACAUGCAAGUACAAAACAAAGUAUUAUUACCAAUAUUUUCUGUUGUCUUUUUUUAUUAUUAUUUUGUGAAUAUAAAUGUUAUUUUGUAGGCUGCAAAUUAAUAAUACAACACUUAUUUGCUUUUUAUAUAUCAAUUUUCAUGCAGCAAUAAGAUGCUCUUGAUCUGAUAUGCAUGUAAUAUUUGCCACUGGAUCACAUACCCUAACCCACUCAAUUUCUUAUACCUUACAUAUGUGUUUUUUUCUCUAAUGACAGCAAUCAACCUAAUGUUCAGUUUUUAUAUUUGAUUUAAAAAAAUUGAUAUAAUUGGUUUUAUUUUCUACAGUAA
RNAcentral lists this long non-coding RNA (338 nucleotides) under Mytilus galloprovincialis (Mediterranean mussel). The record is from RNAcentral. Lineage: Eukaryota; Metazoa; Mollusca; Bivalvia; Mytilida; Mytilidae.